GAUGAACGCUGGCGGCGUGCCUAAUACAUGCAAGUCGAGCGAACGGACGAGAAGCUUGCUUCGCGGAUGUUAGCGGCGGACGGGUGAGUAACACGUGGAUAACCUACCUGUAAUAGUGGUAUAACUUCGGGAAACGGGCGCUAAUACCGGAGGAUAUUCUGAACCGCAGUGUGGAAUAGAGAAAUACGGUCGUGCGGGCACGUAUAGAUGGAUCUGAGCUGGUUUAGCUAGUUGUGAAGCUAACGGCUUACCAAGGCAACGAUGCAUAGCCGACCUGAGGGGCUGAUCGCCCGCCCUGGAACUUAGACACGGUCCAGACUCCUACGAGAGGCACCAGUCUGGUAUCUUACGCAAUGGGCGAAAGCCUGGCGGAGCGACCCCACGUGAGUGAUGACGGUCUUCCGAUCGUAAAACUCUGUUACUAGGGAAAAACAUCUGUGUAAGUAACUGUGCCCAUCUUGACGGUACCUAGUCAGAAAGCAACGGCUAACUACGUG
This 497-nucleotide ribosomal RNA is filed under the name uncultured bacterium. RNAcentral describes it as "partial 16S ribosomal RNA". It matches the Rfam family "Bacterial small subunit ribosomal RNA", at positions 28 to 507 of the family's 1533-position model. The record is from RNAcentral.